Molecule: ribosomal RNA, 353 nt
Filed under: uncultured bacterium
Lineage: Bacteria
Description: bacterial SSU rRNA
Rfam family: Bacterial small subunit ribosomal RNA
Source: RNAcentral
GGACCCGCACAAGCAGUGGAGCAUGUGGUUUAAUUCGAAGAUACGCGCAGAACCUUACCAACACUUGACAUGUUCGUCGCGAGACUAAGAGAUUAGUUUCUUCAGUUCGGCUGGACGAAACACAGGUGCUGCAUGGCUGUCGUCAGCUCGUGUCGUGAGAUGUUGGGUUAAGUCCCGCAACGAGCGCAACCCUCACUUUUAGUUGCCAUCAUUUAGUUGGGCACUCUGAAAAGAACUGCCAGUGAUAAGCUGGAGGAAGGUGGGGAUGACGUCAAGUCCUCAUGGCCCUUACGUGUUGGGCUACACACGUGCUACAAAUGGUAUCUACAACAGGAAAGCAAGACGGCGACGUU